GAUGAACGCUAGCGGGAGGCUUAACACAUGCAAGUCGAGGGGCAGCAUAGGGUAGCAAUACUCUGAUGGCGACCGGCAAACGGGUGAGUAACGCGUAUGCAACCUACCCUGUACAGGGGGAUAACCCGGAGAAAUUCGGACUAAUAUCCCGUAAUAAUAUCCGGAGGCAUCUUUGGAUAUUUAAAGUUCCGACGGUACGGGAUGGGCAUGCGUAACAUUAACUGGUUGGUAAGGUAACGGCUUACCAAGGCUAUGAUGUUUAGGGGUCCUGAGAGGGUCGGUCCCCACACUGGUACUGAGACACGGACCAGACUCCUACGGGAGGCAGCAGUGAGGAAUAUUGGUCAAUGGGCGCAAGCCUGAACCAGCCAUCCCGCGUGCAGGAAGACGGCCCUAUGGGUUGUAAAACUGCUUUUCCAGGGAGAGAAACUUAACGCACGUGUUGCGUGACUGACGGUACCCUGGGAAUAAGCAUCGGCUAAACUCCGUGCCAGCAGCCGCGGUAAAAAGUGUGUGUA
RNAcentral lists this ribosomal RNA (518 nucleotides) under uncultured bacterium. RNAcentral describes it as "bacterial SSU rRNA". It matches the Rfam family "Bacterial small subunit ribosomal RNA", at positions 28 to 536 of the family's 1533-position model. The record is from RNAcentral.